RNAcentral lists this transfer RNA (72 nucleotides) under Cordylochernes scorpioides. RNAcentral describes it as "tRNA-Phe". The record is from RNAcentral. Lineage: Eukaryota; Metazoa; Arthropoda; Arachnida; Pseudoscorpiones; Chernetidae.
UGCCUAAACCCGGGAUCGAACCGGGACCUUUUGAUAUUCAGUCUAACACUCUCCUAACUGAGCUAUUUCGGC